AUGGAUGUUUUGAUAACUACGUCACACCUGUGGAUUUUGUUUGCUGUCAUCCCCCUGAAGUUUACUUCUACAGAGCAGAAAAACAUCACAGCUGAGUCUGGACAGGAUGUCACUCUGACAUGUCGAGCUCAAAAUAACAACAUUGAUCUUGUAGAGUGGAACAGAACUGACCUGGAAGAUAAACCUGUUUUUGUGUAUCGGAAUAACAUGUCCGAUCCAGAAAACCAGCAUCCAUCUUUUAAGAACCGGGUGGAUCUGCAGGACAGACAGAUGAAGGAUGGAGACGUGUCUUUGAUUCUGAAGAAUGUGAUGAUUAAUGACACUGGAACAUACGAGUGUCGUGUCAACAUGAAUUUAAAAUUAAAUAAAGACCCCAUCAGCAGCAUCUACCUUCAUGUUGCUGAUCCUCCAGGUGAGUGAGUAGAGUUGAGUGUGUGUGUGAUCAGAGGUGAAGCUGCUUCCUGGUUGUUGAUGUUUGUUUCUAAAGAUGUUGUUGAUGAGACUUUGUAGAAAGCAGCUGGUCUGAGUGAUGUGAUCAGAGUGCAGUAGAUAAUGUCUGACAGCAGUUUGAAGAGGAAAUGGAUUCUGUUCUGUUCUUCACUCAUCACCUACCUGACAGCUGACACCUCACACCUGUUUCUCACCUGCAGGUCAGACAGGAGGACACACAGAGGAUGGAGGGAAGAAGGAUGGAGGGAAGGAGGAUGGAGGAGCGAAGAGUGGAUCUGUUGGACUGAUUGUUGGUCUGGUAGUUCCUGCUGUGCUUCUUGUUGGUGUCGCUGUUUUUAUGAUCUAGAUAAACCAUGACAAUCAGAAUCAGGAUUCAUACUAACCUGUUGAAAUGCACUAUGUUUGAAACAUCUCACAGCUUUUCCACCUGAAUCUCCUGCUGUUGCUCCAAAUUCCCAGCGUGUCACUCAACACAGGAACAAACGAUGAUCUGAGGACAUGGAAAUCAUGAAAUUUGGUUUUCAGGGUUUCAAGGACUGAAAAACUCACUAAAAUCCUGGAUUCUCUUCUGUUCUUCACUCAUCACCAGCUCUCACCUUCUUCUCACCUGCAGGUCCUCCAGGAGGACUUGGAGGGUUUGUGGGACUGGUAGUGAGUCUGUCAGUUUUGGUGUGUUUAUUCUUGUACCUAAUGUUCUGAUCUCUAAAAGAAGAAAAGGGAACGGUGCUGAAUAUGUGAUUUCUGCUUCUCAGAGAUCCUGUUAAAGUCUAAAGACAUUGGGAGGGUUUCAAACUGUUUGGAGCAGGGAAACAGGUACUAAUGGUGCAGCACUGACUGAUGUGUUUGUGGAUAUGAACUCAUACACAUGAACAUACCUCAGGUUCAUAUCUACAAAUUCAUGUCCCAGGACAUAAACUUUAUAUUUAAUUUUACAUUUGGACAUCUGUGGGGUUGGUGAUGGAGGGAAUCAUUUCACAGCUCACAGGUUUCUACACUUAUGAAAUAAAACUGCAUCACUUUAAGCAUUAAAUCUAUGAAGUUAGAUAAACAUGAGGGUUUGGGAUAAAAUUGUUUACACUAAUUAAUGGUGAUGCAUCCUUGGCAAUGUUAUAGACAUGAAAUAUACGUCUGAGUGAAACACUCAAAGUCAUCAUGUUGACUAUCAUGAACAUUUUUAUAACUCCCUCUUUACAACUGUCUUUACUGUGUAACAUUUCCUACAUUUACACAAACAGAGAUUUUAGACUGUAAAAGUGAAUUUUGCACAGCUACAAAUUACAAACUUUGUUUUAUGAAAACUGAAGUUAAUGCAGCAGUGACUGGAAAAUAACUUGUUCUGCAAAAUAGGCCAUCUCAGUACCACUGACUUUAUGGUAUUUUUCAAAUUUGUUUGUUUAUUUCCUUCAGCAGGUACUUGAACUUCCUUCAGUGGAAAAUGGAAACAGAAGUGUUACAGAAACCUGUGUUUUACAUUUCCUAUUUGUGAAACUUUGGUUUUUUUUCUGUGUAAACCAACAAUUUAAACAAACAAAGUAAUUUAUGCUUUUUUUCUCUGGGUUGAGUGUUUUACAAGAUAGUGAAUGCAUAAAUGCUGUGAGCACUAUAAAAAAAAAAACACUGUUGCAGUUUGUGCAUGUGUCAAGUCAGCCAUGAAAUCCUGACGGUAUCAGAGUAAAAAAGCUGGUUUAGAUUUCAUUUGUUUGUUUCUCACCUCUCCUCCAGGAGCUGCUGAAACAGUCCAGGUGUCUUUUUUCUGCUCAGUGUUCUGGAGGAAAGUGUGCAAGGAAGGAGGAAUGUUGUGCGAUGUGUGUUGAUUUGAUCACUUACAGAGCAGUUUCCCUCAUGUACUGUCUGUGUUCACAUUUUCUGUGAAUAUUACAUCGACCACUACCCGACUUAUGGGGUUUAGCCUGGUGCAGAACUUUUCCCUCAUUUGUUCCUUGGUUUAAUUCUGUUAUUUGUUUGAUUUUAAUCUCCCUGUGAAUCUGAUGCACUGAGCCACUGAAGUGAAGAACCAAAGAAAUAAAAAACUGGACUGUUGACUGUUUAACAGUGAUUUAUUUUUGCACCUUCUCACUGAUUCCUGCUGAAUCAGCACCAAAGAACACACAGCAAACACUCUGAGCUUUGCUUCAGGUCAUCAUGUUAUUCAUCAUCAGAGCGAUCAGUGAGAACAAUCUGAUGUGUGUUUACUUCAACUCAGUAAAAGGCUUCUUCUCACUUAAGUCCCUCUUUAAACCAGAGUGUG
RNAcentral lists this long non-coding RNA (2698 nucleotides) under Oreochromis niloticus (Nile tilapia). RNAcentral's name for it is "lncRNA (ENSONIG00000042150.1)". The record is from RNAcentral. Lineage: Eukaryota; Metazoa; Chordata; Actinopteri; Cichliformes; Cichlidae.